This 301-nucleotide ribosomal RNA is filed under the name uncultured bacterium. RNAcentral's name for it is "partial 16S ribosomal RNA". It matches the Rfam family "Bacterial small subunit ribosomal RNA", at positions 509 to 807 of the family's 1533-position model. The record is from RNAcentral.
CAGCAGCCACGGUAAUACGUAGGGUGCAAGCGUUAAUCGGAAUUACUGGGCGUAAAGCGUGCGCAGGCGGUUAUAUAAGACAGAUGUGAAAUCCCCGGGCUCAACCUGGGAACUGCAUUUGUGACUGUAUAGCUAGAGUACGGCAGAGGGGGAUGGAAUUCCGCGUGUAGCAGUGAAAUGCGUAGAGAUCUGGAGGAAUACCGAUGGCGAAGGCAGCCCCCUGGGCCAAUACUGACGCUCAUGCACGAAAGCGUGGGGAGCAAACAGGAUUAGAUACCCGAGUAGUCCCUGUCUCUUAUAC